RNAcentral lists this ribosomal RNA (497 nucleotides) under uncultured bacterium. Its description in RNAcentral is "partial 16S ribosomal RNA". It matches the Rfam family "Bacterial small subunit ribosomal RNA", at positions 28 to 507 of the family's 1533-position model. The record is from RNAcentral.
GAUGAACGCUGGCGGCGUGCCUAAUACAUGCAAGUCGAGCGAACGGACGAGAAGCUUGCUUCUCUGAUGUUAGCGGCGGACGGGUGAGUAACACGUGGAUAACCUACCUAUAAGACUGGGAUAACUUCGGGAAACCGUAGCUAAUACCGGAUAAUAUUUUGAACCGCAUGGUUCAAAAGUGAAAGACGGUCUUGCUGUCACUUAUAGAUGGAUCCGCGCUGCAUUAGCUAGUUGGUAAGGUAACGGCUUACCAAGGCAACGAUGCAUAGCCGACCUGAGAGGGUGAUCGGCCACACGGGAACUGAGACACGGUCCAGACUCCUACGGGAGGCAGCAGUAGGGAAUCUUCGGCAAUGGGCGAAAGCCUGACGGAGCAACGCCGCGUGAGUGAUGAAGGUCUUCGGAUCGUAAAACUCUGUUAUUAGGGAAGAACAUAUGUGUAAGUAACUGUGCACAUCUUGACGGUACCUAAUCAGAAAGCCACGGCUAACUACGUG